This 252-nucleotide ribosomal RNA is filed under the name uncultured bacterium. RNAcentral describes it as "partial 16S ribosomal RNA". It matches the Rfam family "Bacterial small subunit ribosomal RNA", at positions 524 to 776 of the family's 1533-position model. The record is from RNAcentral.
UACGGAGGGUGCAAGCGUUGUCCGGAUUUAUUGGGUUUAAAGGGUGCGUAGGCGGCCUUUUAAGUCAGUGGUGAAAGCCCAUAGCUCAACUAUGGAACUGCCAUUGAUACUGAAAGGCUUGAGUACAGACGAGGUUGGCGGAAUGGAUGGUGUAGCGGUGAAAUGCAUAGAUACCAUCCAGAACUCCGAUUGCGUAGGCAGCUAACUAGGCUGUAACUGACGCUGAGGCACGAAAGCGUGGGAGCAAACAGG